CCCACACGAGAGGGGUUAGAAAUCUAUCUAAAUUUGAGAGGCUUGGAUUAGCCGAAUGACUAGACCAACUAAACUCCGCUCCUUCCAACAAGAUGUCUAGAAGACUGUUAUGAGACAAUCUAGAUCGCCUCCUACGCACCACCUAAGGGAGGGUGGAAUAGAUGGCAAAGGAUGGGCUUCAAUGAGGGCUCGUGCAUGAAGGCAUAUGGUGAACAGGCUGGGUAGGCCUCAACAUCAAAGCUAAUUAGGUGAAGAAAAGGUGGCAACAAGGUUGGGACCUGGGGGGAGAGAAGAGGAGAUGAAUUAAUAGGAAAAUGGUGAGGAGGACUAAUGAGGUUAGGGGAGGGCAUACAAAGAGGGGGUGCAGGAGGAAGGGGUUGCAAGCCUAGGAUUGCAUAGAGAAAGGGUGGAGAGAGAGAGGGGAGGAAAUGGUGAUAAAUGGUUACAAGAUCACUUAUAAUGGAAAAUACCACCAGAGACUACAAUAAACAGAGAAUUCCCAAAGUUCACGAACUGAGCUUUCAGUUAUUUAGAUAUUCCUCCAGCCUAAGGGGAUCAACAACAUAGAAUAACAAUAUUAAAUAGUACCUAUACAGCAAGCAACCAAGUCUCUUGUAGCAAAGCUGAAAAUAUGCUUGAAAUGCUUGAACAGCCAAGCCUCCACAGCUGGCGUAACUUAUUGUUCUUUUCAUCCAACAUGGCAUUGUGUCAAACAUGAGCAAGUGCUGCUAGGGUAAAUCCCAG
RNAcentral lists this long non-coding RNA (744 nucleotides) under Amborella trichopoda. RNAcentral's name for it is "long non-coding RNA (ATRI_LNC000815)". The record is from RNAcentral. Lineage: Eukaryota; Viridiplantae; Streptophyta; Magnoliopsida; Amborellales; Amborellaceae.